CUUUCUCCGCCGGCGACCGGCGCACGGGUGAGUAACACGUAUGCAACCUGCCCCUGUCAGGGGGACAACCCGCCGAAAGGCGGGCUAAACCCGCGUACAUGCCACCGGGGCAUCCCGGAGGCAGGAAAGGCUUCGGCCGGACAGGGAUGGGCAUGCGGCGCAUUAGGCAGUAGGCGGGGGUAACGGGCCCACCUAACCGACGAUGCGUAGGGGUUCUGAGAGGAAGGUCCCCCACACUGGUACUGAGACACGGACCAGACUCCUACGGAAGGCAGCAG
Molecule: ribosomal RNA, 278 nt
Filed under: uncultured bacterium
Lineage: Bacteria
Description: partial 16S ribosomal RNA
Rfam family: Bacterial small subunit ribosomal RNA
Source: RNAcentral